Molecule: long non-coding RNA, 326 nt
Organism: Ochotona princeps (American pika)
Lineage: Eukaryota; Metazoa; Chordata; Mammalia; Lagomorpha; Ochotonidae
Exons: 3
Source: RefSeq, a predicted model, not a curated record
AAGGAAAGACAGAAAGAACCGUUCUUCUAAUGGUUCUCUCCCCAAAUGGCCACAAUGUCCACAGCUGGACCAAUUUGAAUUCAGAUACCAGGAGCUUCUUCUGGUUCUUCCACACAGGCUUAUUAGCUAACUCAUGUGCUUGGCAAAAAUGACAGAAAGCAAAGCAGGAUCCUUGCGUGAGAUUCUGGAACCACAGCUGCUGCAGAAGCCAGCAGCCCUUCCCAGGCUGGGAAGACCCCAAAAGAACUGUCAACUCUCAACUCAGGACUGAAUUUGAAACUUCAUCACAGGCAAUGUGCAAGCCAGCACAGUCCCUCCAGGCCCAG